RNAcentral lists this transfer RNA (82 nucleotides) under Profundicola chukchiensis. It matches the Rfam family "tRNA". From Rfam's summary of the family: Transfer RNA (tRNA) molecules are approximately 80 nucleotides in length. Their secondary structure includes four short double-helical elements and three loops (D, anti-codon, and T loops). Lineage: Bacteria; Pseudomonadati; Bacteroidota; Flavobacteriia; Flavobacteriales; Weeksellaceae. The record is from Rfam by way of RNAcentral.
GCCCGAGUGGCGGAAUUGGUAGACGCGCUGGAUUCAAAAUCCAGUUUCUUCGGAAGUGCCGGUUCGAUUCCGGCUUCGGGUA